RNAcentral lists this ribosomal RNA (253 nucleotides) under uncultured bacterium. Its description in RNAcentral is "partial 16S ribosomal RNA". It matches the Rfam family "Bacterial small subunit ribosomal RNA", at positions 524 to 776 of the family's 1533-position model. The record is from RNAcentral.
UACGGAGGGCGCAAGCGUUGAUCGGAAUCAUUGGGCGUAAAGCGCGUGUAGGCGGCCAAUUAAGUCGGAUGUGAAAGCCCGGGGCCCAACCCCGGAACUGCAUUCGAUACUGAUUGGCUGGAGUCCCGGAGAGGAAGGCGGAAUUCCCGGUGUAGAGGUGAAAUUCGUAGAUAUCGGGAGGAACAUCAGUGGCGCAGGCGGCCUUCUGGACGGUGACUGACGCUGAGACGCGAAAGCGUGGGGAGCAAACAGG